RNAcentral lists this ribosomal RNA (496 nucleotides) under uncultured bacterium. RNAcentral's name for it is "partial 16S ribosomal RNA". It matches the Rfam family "Bacterial small subunit ribosomal RNA", at positions 29 to 507 of the family's 1533-position model. The record is from RNAcentral.
AUGAACGCUGGCGGCGUGCCUAGUACAUGCAAGUCGAGCGAACAGAUAAGGAGCUUGCUCCUUUGACGUUAGCGGCGGACGGGUGAGUAACACGUGGAUAACCUACCUAUAAGACUGGGAUAACUUCGGGAAACCGGAGCUAAUACCGGAUAAUAUAUUGAACCGCAUGGUUCAAUAGUGAAAGGCGGCUUUGCUGUCACUUAUAGAUGGAUCCGCGCCGUAUUAGCUAGUUGGUAAGGUAACGGCUUACCAAGGCAACGAUACGUAGCCGACCUGAGAGGGUGAUCGGCCACACUGGAACUGAGACACGGUCCAGACUCCUACGGGAGGCAGCAGUAGGGAAUCUUCCGCAAUGGGCGAAAGCCUGACGGAGCAACGCCGCGUGAGUGAUGAAGGUCUUCGGAUCGUAAAACUCUGUUAUCAGGGAAGAACAAAUGUGUAAGUAACUGUGCACAUCUUGACGGUACCUGAUCAGAAAGCCACGGCUAACUACGUG